UGGGGGAUAUUGCACAAUGGGCGAAAGCCUGAUGCAGCGACGCCGCGUGGGGGAUGAAGGCCUUCGGGUUGUAAACUUCUUUUGCUCUGAACAAGGCAUGCCUUUGGGGUGUGUUGAGUGUAGGGGUUGAUUAGCGCCGGCUAACUACGUGCCAGCAGCCGCGGUAAUACGUAGGGCGCGAGCGUUGUCCGGAAUUAUUGGGCGUAAAGGGCUUGUAGGUGGCUGGUUGCGUCUGUCGUGAAAGCUCAUGGCUUAACUGUGGGUUUGCGGUGGGUACGGGCUGGCUUGGGUGCAGGAGGGGAGGCUGGAAUUCCUGGUGUAGCGGUGGAAUGCGCAGAUAUCAGGAGGAAUACCGGUGGCGAAGGCGGGUCUCUGGGCUGUUACUGACGCUGAGGGGCGAAAGCGUGGGGAGCGAACAGG
Molecule: ribosomal RNA, 420 nt
Filed under: Fusobacteriota bacterium
Lineage: Bacteria; Fusobacteriati; Fusobacteriota
Description: Fusobacteria bacterium partial 16S ribosomal RNA
Rfam family: Bacterial small subunit ribosomal RNA
Source: RNAcentral